AGUUGCUUUAUGACGCCGGGCGCGUGCGCAUUUAAAACAAUUCUCGAAAGAAAUGUUCACAAAUUAGUUUAAAUUCGAAAACGUUUCGGUAUGGACGCAAGAAAAAGGAAUUCUAAGAAAUAGAAAUUCUAAGCGAAACAACAACGAAAAAGGAAAAUAAUUUAAAUAGGGAUAAUAAUAUACAAAAACAUAACAACAAAAACACAACGGUAUUAAGGAAUCUGUUUCAGAAUUUCAGUGAGUUAAAUCUGUUAAAAAGUUCUGCGGUUAAUUUGUUUGUUUCUUUAACAAAAAACGUAAUCUAAUAUUUUAAUUAUUAUCAUCAGCUCAGCAGCAGUGUAGAAUAUAUUGGCCUAAAAUACUAGAUAUUUUAUGUUAAUAUAUUAAAUUCGAGUGACUUACGUCACCCAAGAUUUUGUACAUUUUCAAGCGAGCAUUGGACUGGGUGUUAAUUAUUUCUAUGCCGGUUUGCUGCAAGUAUUUGUUGUCAUUGAUCAAUUAGCUUCCUAGCUUUCAAGCGAACGGUCGUGUUUUUUUUUUGCGCUCCGAUUCCUAUUUUGUGUUUGUCAAACCAGCCAAGUGUCCCGUCUCUAGGUCUCCCGCACUGGUGUAAGGGGCGGCCUGCCUCUCACACUUGUUGUUGUUUCGAAUUCUUAAAUCAAAUCGGCAGUAU
RNAcentral lists this long non-coding RNA (673 nucleotides) under Drosophila melanogaster (fruit fly). RNAcentral describes it as "flamenco (Dmel_CR46037)". The record is from RNAcentral. Lineage: Eukaryota; Metazoa; Arthropoda; Insecta; Diptera; Drosophilidae.